RNAcentral lists this long non-coding RNA (1380 nucleotides) under Anser brachyrhynchus (Pink-footed goose). Its description in RNAcentral is "lncRNA (ENSABRG00000010247.1)". Lineage: Eukaryota; Metazoa; Chordata; Aves; Anseriformes; Anatidae. The record is from RNAcentral.
UGAAGAAGUGAGAGUGAAGGACCUGCUCACACGGGUGCUGAGUGCUGAGAAGCAUUAAUGUAUUGCAUUUAUUUAAGACAGUGAUAGUACUCUAGUUCUGGUAUAUCUUUUACUCUCAGCCCAUUCACACCGCUAUUGGAUGUAUCUCUUGUGGUUUCUCUGUGAAACAAUAUGUAUGUCUAUGAAUUGGGAUUAUUAAUACGUAACUCACAAAGGUAGGUUAGUUUAAUUAUAUUAUUGUUGGCCAGCAGAGAUCUAUUGGGUAAUUUUGGGAAAGCAUCAAUACCUUUUUAACCACACAGCACUCAUAUAUGUCAAUUUUUAUAUUCAGAGCCAUGUCCCAUCAGGACAAGAAUGUGAAAAUGAAUUCAGAUGCCAUGCUGUUGGGAAGGUGGAAAUAAGCAGCGUUUUGACAUCUCUCAAAGCCAGCUGGAUAACUGCAACGUGCAGGUGUUUCCAAGAAUCCCUGGCACGCCUUAUGAAUGCUGGAUUAUUUAGCUUUAGGUUUCCUGGCCAACAUACACUCCUAACACUAUGUCAAGAAAAGAAACAUAUCAGCUCAUAGAAUAAUUCUUAAAUCUCACUAUGUCAGACAGUGGCAACUUUCUGAAGAAACUACUGAUAACUAUGGGGAAGAAAGAAAAAUCCCAAGAGAAGGUGAUUGUAUAUAUGGAUAUGAACUGGCAACCUGAUAUACAUGAGAUGUUCAAACCCUUUGGAUCAAUUCUCUACACUGUUAAUGGCAUCUGUUGUCUAUAGCAGCAGCGGGCUCAUGCCUGAGAAAAAAACAAGAAGCUGCGAAAAUGGUGAUGGAGUCAAGCAAGCAGGAACGAUCUAUGCCAACUGGUGGGGAUGUAGGUUAGUCCUAAAAUGCACAGUCUGAGUCUGAAGAAUUACAAGGAAUCCAUACAUACCACCUUGCACAGAAAGGUUAGGAACCAAAUGAUCUUCCAGUGAGCUAGUGACAGCUGGCGGACUUCACUGUCACUUGCUGGAGGGGUGGAAUGAGCCAACAGUGGAUACGCCUUUGGGAUUUCUGGGAGCUGGCUGGGUUCCAGAUUCUGCCACAUAAUUCCUGUGUCAUCUUGGCAAAAUCACUUCUCCUGUGCGCUGCUUCUACAGCCUGGGGGCAAUAACUCUUCCUUACCUUGUGCAGUUUUUGUUUUGGUUGGUUUUGUAAGGUGCUUAGUUACCAAGUGUCGGGAGCCAUAAAGUACCCAGAUCAAUUGAAAACCCGUCAGUCAGAGCUUGAAAACACAUCAGUCUCUGUAUUCGGAGCUUUUUAUUAAAUUAAGAAGAAAAAAAAAAAAGUGAGACAAUAUUGGCUUGGGGUCUGCUUGCCCCCGUUAGCAUAUUGCUAUGAUUGUCUUUGAAUACUUU